GUAGUCUGCAACCCGACUACAUGAAGCUGGAAUCGCUAGUAAUCGCGAAUCAGAAUGUCGCGGUGAAUACGUUCCCGGGUCUUGUACACACCGCCCGUCACACCAUGGGAGUCGGUAACGCCCGAAGCCUGUGACCCAACCUAAUAGGAGGGAGCAGUCGAAGGUGGGACCGGUGACUGGGGUGAAGUCGUAACAAGGUAUC
This 202-nucleotide ribosomal RNA is filed under the name uncultured bacterium. RNAcentral describes it as "partial 16S ribosomal RNA". It matches the Rfam family "Bacterial small subunit ribosomal RNA", at positions 1300 to 1500 of the family's 1533-position model. The record is from RNAcentral.